CAGUCGCCGCGGUAAUGCGUAGGGGGCAAGCGUUAUCCGGAAUUACUGGGUGUAAAGGGAGCGUAGACGGUUAAACAAGUCUGAAGUGAAAUGCCGGGGCUCAACCCCGGAGCUGCUUUGGGAACUGUAGAACUGGAGUGUCGGAGGGGUAAGCGGAAUUCCCAGUGUAGCGGUGAAAUGCGUAGAUAUUGUGAGGAACACCGGCGGCGAAGGCGGCUUACUGGACGACAACCGACGUUGAGGCUCGAAGGCGUGGGUAGCAAACAGGAUUAGAUACACCAGUAGUCCCUGUCUCUUAUAA
RNAcentral lists this ribosomal RNA (301 nucleotides) under uncultured bacterium. Its description in RNAcentral is "partial 16S ribosomal RNA". It matches the Rfam family "Bacterial small subunit ribosomal RNA", at positions 509 to 809 of the family's 1533-position model. The record is from RNAcentral.